This 561-nucleotide ribosomal RNA is filed under the name Acinetobacter sp. J2005s. RNAcentral describes it as "bacterial SSU rRNA". It matches the Rfam family "Bacterial small subunit ribosomal RNA", at positions 160 to 715 of the family's 1533-position model. The record is from RNAcentral. Lineage: Bacteria; Pseudomonadati; Pseudomonadota; Gammaproteobacteria; Moraxellales; Moraxellaceae.
AUGCUAAUACCGCAUACGCCCUACGGGGGAAAGCAGGGGAUCUUCGGACCUUGCGCUAAUAGAUGAGCCUAAGUCAGAUUAGCUAGUUGGUGGGGUAAAGGCCUACCAAGGCGACGAUCUGUAGCGGGUCUGAGAGGAUGAUCCGCCACACUGGGACUGAGACACGGCCCAGACUCCUACGGGAGGCAGCAGUGGGGAAUAUUGGACAAUGGGCGAAAGCCUGAUCCAGCCAUGCCGCGUGUGUGAAGAAGGCCUUUUGGUUGUAAAGCACUUUAAGCGAGGAGGAGGCUACUUGGAUUAAUACUCUAGGAUAGUGGACGUUACUCGCAGAAUAAGCACCGGCUAACUCUGUGCCAGCAGCCGCGGUAAUACAGAGGGUGCGAGCGUUAAUCGGAUUUACUGGGCGUAAAGCGUGCGUAGGCGGCUUUUUAAGUCGGAUGUGAAAUCCCUGAGCUUAACUUAGGAAUUGCAUUCGAUACUGGGAAGCUAGAGUAUGGGAGAGGAUGGUAGAAUUCCAGGUGUAGCGGUGAAAUGCGUAGAGAUCUGGAGGAAUACCGAUGG